ACACGGCCCAAACUCCUACGGGAGGCAGCAGUAGGGAAUUUUCGGCAAUGGAGGAAACUCUGACCGAGCAACGCCGCGUGAACGAUGAAGUAUUUCGGUAUGUAAAGUUCUUUUAUUGAAGAAGAAAAAAUAGUGGAAAAACUAUCUUGACGAUAUUCAAUGAAUAAGCCCCGGCAAACUAUGUGCCAGCAGCCGCGGUAAUACAUAGGGGGCGAGCGUUAUCCGGAAUUAUUGGGCGUAAAGGGUGCGUAGGCGGUUUAAUAAGUCUAUAGUUUAAUUUCAGUGCUUAACACUGUCCUGCUAUAGAAACUAUUAGACUAGAGUGAGAUAGAGGCAAGUGGAAUUCCAUGUGUAGCGGUAAAAUGCGUAAAUAUAUGGAGGAACACCAGAGGCGUAGGCGGCUUGCUGGGUCUUUACUGACGCUGAGGCACGAAAGCGUGGGGAGCAAACAGGAUUAGAUACCCUGGUAGUCCACGCCGUAAACGAUGAGUACUAAGUGUCGGGAUUACUCGGUACUGAAGUUAACACAUUAAGUACUCCGCCUGAGUAGUACGUACGCAAGUAUGAAACUUAAAGGAAUUGACGGGACUCCGCACAAGCGGUGGAUCAUGUUGUUUAAUUCGAAGAUACACGAAAAACCUUACCAGGUCUUGACAUACUCUGCAAAGCUAUAGCAAUAUAGUGGAGGUUAUCAGGGAUACAGGUGGUGCAUGGUUGUCGUCAGCUCGUGUCGUGAGAUGUUAGGUUAAGUCCUAAAACGAGCGCAACCCUUGUCAUUAGUUGCCAGCAUGUCAUGAUGGGCACUUUAAUGAGACUGCCAAUGAAAAAUUGGAGGAAGGUGAGGAUCACGUCAAAUCAUCAUGCCCCUUAUGAUCUGGGCUACAAACGUGAUACAAUGGCUGUUACAAAGAGUAGCUGAAACGCAAGUUUAUAGCCAAUCUCAUAAAAGCAGUCUCAGUUCGGAUUGAAGUCUGCAACUCGACUUCAUGAAGUUGGAAUCGCUAGUAAUCGCGAAUCAGCAUGUCGCGGUGAAUACGUUCUC
Molecule: ribosomal RNA, 1042 nt
Filed under: 'Elaeis guineensis' spear rot disease phytoplasma
Lineage: Bacteria; Bacillati; Mycoplasmatota; Mollicutes; Acholeplasmatales; Acholeplasmataceae
Description: bacterial SSU rRNA
Rfam family: Bacterial small subunit ribosomal RNA
Source: RNAcentral